UUGUGCGAAGAAUACAAUAAAACAAGGAGGACUCUUAUGAGAACAAAGACGUUUCCACUUUUUUUCCUUUUCUUCAUUUUAGUCUAAAUUGUAAACUAAAAGAUAAAAAUUGUUUUUCGUAAAAUAAUAAUUUUUAGCUUUCAUGCCGUUUGGAAGUUUUAGCUGUAAAUAUCCGUAAAGAUCUGGUUAUCCUUUUUCAUCAUUUUUUUUUUUUUUUUUUUUUAUUUUAUAUUCAAAUAUCAUUUCCGUCAAUUGGUCCAAUUGAUCUAAUUUUUAAUAAUCAUCGACGAAGAGAUAUGUAAAGAAUUGUCAGCUUUUGUAAAUUGUUGUAAAAAAAAAAAAAA
This is a long non-coding RNA of Glossina fuscipes, 344 nucleotides long. RefSeq lists it as uncharacterized. NCBI's taxonomy places the organism in Eukaryota, Metazoa, Arthropoda, Insecta, Diptera, Glossinidae. The transcript has 2 exons. The record is from RefSeq and is a predicted model, not a curated record.